GUACACUCCUGCGGGAGGCAGCAGUGGGGAAUAUUGGACAAUGGGCGCAAGCCUGAUCCAGCCAUGCCGCGUGAGUGAUGAAGGCCCUAGGGUUGUAAAGCUCUUUUGUGCGGGAAGAUAAUGACGGUACCGCAAGAAUAAGCCCCGGCUAACUUCGUGCCAGCAGCCGCGGUAAUACGAAGGGGGCUAGCGUUGCUCGGAAUCACUGGGCGUAAAGGGUGCGUAGGCGGGUCUUUAAGUCAGGGGUGAAAUCCUGGAGCUCAACUCCAGAACUGCCUUUGAUACUGAAGAUCUUGAGUUCGGGAGAGGUGAGUGGAACUGCGAGUGUAGAGGUGAAAUUCGUAGAUAUUCGCAAGAACACCAGUGGCGAAGGCGGCUCACUGGCCCGAUACUGACGCUGAGGCACGAAAGCGUGGGGAGCAAACAGGAUUAGAAACCCCAGUAGUCCCAUG
This 452-nucleotide ribosomal RNA is filed under the name uncultured organism. RNAcentral's name for it is "partial 16S ribosomal RNA". It matches the Rfam family "Bacterial small subunit ribosomal RNA", at positions 331 to 799 of the family's 1533-position model. The record is from RNAcentral.